This is a long non-coding RNA of Rhineura floridana, 574 nucleotides long. RefSeq lists it as uncharacterized. The transcript is spliced from 3 exons. The record is from RefSeq and is a predicted model, not a curated record. Lineage: Eukaryota; Metazoa; Chordata; Lepidosauria; Squamata; Rhineuridae.
UUUUUGCUUCCUUGCGGGUCCAGCUGUGAACAUCCACUCAUUCACUUACUUGUUGGGUUUCAUAUGGAUGAAAAGGCGAAGUAUUAACUCCCUCGUCUGCUAGUUCUUGAUCUACCUAAAAUGCAGAGAGCCAAAAACAAUGUUUCAACAGAGGGAGAAGACCAGACAAGCCGUAUAAAAGGAGAAUGGGAAAGACCAGAGUUCUUUCUUCAACUCCAGUGACAUCUGCAUUUUCCUUCAGCAUAACUGCAUGUUUCAUCAAGCCAAUAAGGUCACCCAUCAUAACAAAACGUAGAGAUUCCAACAGGAAAGAUUUCAGCCCACCAGCCUCCUCCACAAUUUUACGGGUAUCUGGAGGAAAAUGCUCGUAUUCUCCAAUUAACAGUGGAUUAUCAAUUUCCAUAGGACCAUGUUCUUCCAAGAUCUGAGAGAAAUAGCUGUGAAAAUAAUCAAAGGCGUAUCUAAUAUCACUGGGAAGCUGUGCAAACAUAACUAAUUUAUCAUUUUAGCUAUCAAUUUAUACACACAUGUAUUGACAAAGAAGGUUCUCAAAUAAAUCAUCUACAGGACACAA